Molecule: small nuclear RNA, 106 nt
Organism: Mustela putorius furo (domestic ferret)
Lineage: Eukaryota; Metazoa; Chordata; Mammalia; Carnivora; Mustelidae
Source: Ensembl
UAUUAAGCUCAAAUGAAAAUGGAGUGCUAAAACUGGAACAACACAGAGAUUAGUAUGGCUCCUGCACAAGGAUGACACUCAAAUUCUUGAAGUGUUCCAUAUUUCC